UAAAAGCUACCCUGGGGAUAACAGGCUUAUCUCCCCCAAGAGUCCACAUCGACGGGGAGGUUUGGCACCUCGAUGUCGGCUCAUCACAUCCUGGGGCUGUAGUAGGUCCCAAGGGUUGGGCUGUUCGUCCAUUAAAGUGGUACGCGAGCUGGGUUCAGAACGUCGUGAGACAGUUCGGUCCCUAUCCGUCGCAGGCGUAGGAAAUUUGAGAAGACCUGUCCUUAGUACGAGAGGACCGGGAUGGACGUACCUCUGGUGUACCAGUUGUUCUGCCAAGGGCAUGGCUGGGUAGCUAUGUACGGAAUGGAUAAGCGCUGAAAGCAUCUAAGCGCGAAGCCAACUUCAAGAUAAGAUUUCCCACCG
This 363-nucleotide ribosomal RNA is filed under the name Clostridioides difficile. Its description in RNAcentral is "partial 23S ribosomal RNA". It matches the Rfam family "Bacterial large subunit ribosomal RNA", at positions 2457 to 2819 of the family's 2925-position model. The record is from RNAcentral. Lineage: Bacteria; Bacillati; Bacillota; Clostridia; Peptostreptococcales; Peptostreptococcaceae.